GAGUUUGAUCCUGGCUCAGGAUGAACGUUGGCGGCGUGCCUAAUACAUGCAAGUCGAACGAAGAAAUCGGAGUAGCAAUACACUGAUUUUCUUAGUGGCGAACGGGUGAGUAACGCGUUGGUAACCUACCCCAAAGAGAGGGAUAACAGUCCGAAAGGGCUACUAAUACCUUAUGUUAUCAUUUGGCUUAGACGCCUUAUGAUUAAAGGAGCUUGCUCCGCUUUGGGAGGGGCCUGCGUGCCAUCAGCUAGUUGGUAGGGUAAUGGCCUACCAAGGCGAUGACGGCUAGGGGACCUGAGAGGGUGGCCCCCCACAAUGGAACUGAAACACGGUCCAUACACCUACGGGUGGCAGCAGUAGGGAAUAUUGGUAAUCUGCGAAAGCGGGAACCAGCAACGCCGCGUGUGCGAAGAAGGCCUUCGGGUUGUAAAGCACUUUUCGGGAGGAAGAAGGAAGGACUGUACUCCCGGAAUAAGUCUCGGCUAACUACGUGCUAGCAGCCGCGGUAAUACGUAGGAGGCAAACGUUAUCCGGAUUUACUGGGCGUAAAGCGCGUGCAGGCGGUUUGAUAAGUUGGAUGUGAAAGCUCCCGGCUCAACUGGGAGAGGUCAUUCAAUACUGUCAGACUUGAGGAUGGUAGAGGGAGGUGGAAUUCCGGGUGUAGUGGUGAAAUGCGCAGAUAUCCGGAGGAACACCAGUGGCGAAAGCGGCCUCCUGGACCAUUCCUGACGCUCAGACGCGAAAGCUAGGGUAGCAAACGGGAUUAGAGACCCCGGUAGUCCUAGCUGUAAACGAUGUGAACUUGGCGUCGGUGGGAUUAAAUCCAUCGGUGUCGAAGCUAACGCGAUA
This 849-nucleotide ribosomal RNA is filed under the name uncultured bacterium. Its description in RNAcentral is "bacterial SSU rRNA". It matches the Rfam family "Bacterial small subunit ribosomal RNA", at positions 9 to 862 of the family's 1533-position model. The record is from RNAcentral.